Non-coding RNA from Ceratobasidium sp. 423, 103 nucleotides. The record is from the annotation of a GenBank genome assembly. Lineage: Eukaryota; Fungi; Basidiomycota; Agaricomycetes; Cantharellales; Ceratobasidiaceae.
GCCCUUAUAGCACAGUGGUAGUGCGUCGCACUUGUAUCAAAUUCGUACAUUGCAUACUUAAUUUGACAUGCGAAGGUCGGUUGUUCAAUCCAGCCUGGGGGCA